ACUCCUACGGGAGGCAGCAGUGGGGAAUAUUGGACAAUGGGCGAAAGCCUGAUCCAGCAAUGCCGCGUGAGUGAUGAAGGCCUUAGGGUUGUAAAGCUCUUUUACCCGGGAUGAUAAUGACAGUACCGGGAGAAUAAGCCCCGGCUAACUCCGUGCCAGCAGCCGCGGUAAUACGGAGGGGGCUAGCGUUGUUCGGAAUUACUGGGCGUAAAGCGCGCGUAGGCGGCUUUGUAAGUUAGAGGUGAAAGCCCGGAGCUCAACUUCGGAAUUGCCUUUAAGACUGCAUCGCUAGAAUCGUGGAGAGGUGAGUGGAAUUCCGAGUGUAGAGGUGAAAUUCGUAGAUAUUCGGAAGAACACCAGUGGCGAAGGCGACUCACUGGACACGUAUUGACGCUGAGGUGCGAAAGCGUGGGGAGCAAACAGGAUUAGAAACCCCAGUAGUCCCA
RNAcentral lists this ribosomal RNA (446 nucleotides) under uncultured organism. RNAcentral describes it as "partial 16S ribosomal RNA". It matches the Rfam family "Bacterial small subunit ribosomal RNA", at positions 335 to 797 of the family's 1533-position model. The record is from RNAcentral.